Non-coding RNA from Sesamum indicum (sesame), 729 nucleotides. The record is from RefSeq and is a predicted model, not a curated record. NCBI's taxonomy places the organism in Eukaryota, Viridiplantae, Streptophyta, Magnoliopsida, Lamiales, Pedaliaceae.
UAAAAUAUUCACGGGUUUAAUAAGAUUGAAAUUCAUAAUUUACCCAUCAGAAUGAAGACAUUCUCUCUCGACUGCCUACAAACAAAUGUUUGAUUUAUAAAUUAUUGCAGCCCGAAAUUUUGUGACCAAUGCGGAGUCGAAUUUGUUGAUCCUCAGAUUUGAAGAUAUCAAAUGGGCUACAUCAAACUCGCAUGCCCAGUAACUCAUGUGUGAUUCGGAAUGAGAAACUGUCAUCCCAGUCAAUCCAGUUGGGAUGCCCUGGAUCAAUCACUUGUGCAAUUCAUUCCAUGGAGUAGAAGCUUGUUUCAUAAAACAAGGCAUUGCUUUGAUCACCAGCCAACCAGCAUCCUGAUGCUCUCACUCCAACAACCAAUGUGAAAUAACAAUAAGCCACUACUGCAUUCUGUUGUACAAGCGAGGAACUUCCUGUAUUACAUACAAGAUCCAACCUUUGUAGUGCAUAAACUAAAUCUAAUCAAAUGUAAUCAUCAAUCGCUCCAGAGCGAAAACUCAACCUAGUUCUGGAGAAACAAUAGAUGAUAAUUCAGAUUUUGGUAUGUUCUGAGUCAAAAGAACAUUGUUGCUUGUUCUUCACAGGAAAGAUCCUAACCAUGUAAUGUCUGCUGUAUGCUUCGCAUUUGGAAUGAAGAAGACCAUCACUCGUACAUUUCAGGCUUCAAGACACCAACAUAUGGCAAGUUCCUGUAAACCUCAGCAAAAUCUAGCCCA